AGAUUGAACGCUGGCGGAAUGCUUUACACAUGCAAGUCGAACGGCAGCACGGGGGCAACCCUGGUGGCGAGUGGCGAACGGGUGAGUAAUACAUCGGAACGUGCCCAGUCGUGGGGGAUAACUACGCGAAAGCGUAGCUAAUACCGCAUACGAACUCUGGUUGAAAGCGGGGGAUCGCAAGACCUCGCGCGAUUGGAGCGGCCGAUGGCAGAUUAGGUAGUUGGUGGGGUAAAGGCUCACCAAGCCGACGAUCUGUAGCUGGUCUGAGAGGACGACCAGCCACACUGGGACUGAGACACGGCCCAGACUCCUACGGGAGGCAGCAGUGGGGAAUUUUGGACAAUGGGCGCAAGCCUGAUCCAGCCAUUCCGCGUGCAGGAUGGAAGGCCCUCGGUUGUAAACUGCUUUUGACGAACGAAACGCGCUGAGUUAAUACCUCGGCGUAAUGACGGUACCGUAAGAAUAAGCACCGGCUAACUACGUGCCAGCAGCCGCGUAAC
This 500-nucleotide ribosomal RNA is filed under the name uncultured soil bacterium. RNAcentral describes it as "bacterial SSU rRNA". It matches the Rfam family "Bacterial small subunit ribosomal RNA", at positions 26 to 524 of the family's 1533-position model. The record is from RNAcentral.